AUUGAACGCUGGCGGCAUGCUUUACACAUGCAAGUCGGACGGCAGCACAGAGAAGCUUGCUUCUUGGGUGGCGAGUGGCGAACGGGUGAGUAAUAUAUCGGAACGUACCGAGUAAUGGGGGAUAACUAAUCGAAAGAUUAGCUAAUACCGCAUAUUCUCUGAGGAGGAAAGCAGGGGAUCUUCGGGCCUUGCGUUAUUCGAGCGGCCGAUAUCUGAUUAGCUAGUUGGUGGGGUAAAGGCCUACCAAGGCGACGAUCAGUAGCGGGUCUGAGAGGAUGAUCCGCCACACUGGGACUGAGACACGGCCCAGACUCCUACGGGAGGCAGCAGUGGGGAAUUUUGGACAAUGGGCGCAAGCCUGAUCCAGCCAUGCCGCGUGUCUGAAGAAGGCCUUCGGGUUGUAAAGGACUUUUGUCAGGGAAGAAAAGGCUGUUGCUAAUACCGACAGCUGAUGACGGUACCUGAAGAAUAAGCACCGGCUAACUACGUG
This 490-nucleotide ribosomal RNA is filed under the name uncultured bacterium. Its description in RNAcentral is "partial 16S ribosomal RNA". It matches the Rfam family "Bacterial small subunit ribosomal RNA", at positions 30 to 507 of the family's 1533-position model. The record is from RNAcentral.